GGGUCCGGUGGCGGAGGUUGUGCGGGCGGCGAUUUCGGCGCGGCACGGGGUGACGGUGCGUGAACUGCUUCUGGUGCCGGCCGGGUCGAUUCC
RNAcentral lists this transfer RNA (93 nucleotides) under Nocardia cerradoensis. Its description in RNAcentral is "tRNA-Glu". Lineage: Bacteria; Bacillati; Actinomycetota; Actinomycetes; Mycobacteriales; Nocardiaceae. The record is from RNAcentral.